RNAcentral lists this unclassified non-coding RNA (338 nucleotides) under soil metagenome. Its description in RNAcentral is "partial contains 5.8S ribosomal RNA, internal transcribed spacer 2, and large subunit ribosomal RNA". The stretch from base 1 to 120 matches the Rfam family "5.8S ribosomal RNA", at positions 35 to 154 of the family's 154-position model. The record is from RNAcentral.
GAUGAAGAACGUAGUGAAAUGCGAUAAGGAAUGUGAAUUGCAGAAUUCAGUGAAUCAUCGAAUCUUUGAACGCACAUUGCGCCCGCCAGUAUUCUGGCGGGCAUGCCUGUCUGAGCGUCAUUUCAACCCUCAAGCAACUUCUGCUUGGUGUUGGGGAUCGGCCGUCAAACGCCGCCCCCGAAAUCUAUUGGCGAUCUCGCUGUAGCUUCCUAUGCGUAGUAGUAACAUCUCGCAUCUGGAGAGCGGCGCGGUCAUGCCGUAAAACACCCAACUUCUCAGGUUGACCUCAGAUCAGGUAGGAAUACCCGCUGAACUUAAGCAUAUCAAUAAGCGGAGGA